Molecule: ribosomal RNA, 255 nt
Filed under: uncultured bacterium
Lineage: Bacteria
Description: partial 16S ribosomal RNA
Rfam family: Bacterial small subunit ribosomal RNA
Source: RNAcentral
UACGAAGGGGGCUAGCGUUGCUCGGAAUCACUGGGCGUAAAGGGUGCGUAGGCGGGUCUUUAAGUCAGGGGUGAAAUCCUGGAGCUCAACUCCAGAACUGCCUUUGAUACUGAAGAUCUUGAGUCCGGGAGAGGUGAGUGGAACUGCCGAGUGUAGAGGUGAAAUUCGUAGAUAUUCGCAAGAACACCAGUGGCGAAGGCGGCUCACUGGCCCGGUACUGACGCUGAGGCACGGAAAGCGUGGGGAGCAAACAGG